Oxyura jamaicensis (ruddy duck) is the source of this 995-nucleotide long non-coding RNA. RefSeq lists it as uncharacterized. The record is from RefSeq and is a predicted model, not a curated record. Lineage: Eukaryota; Metazoa; Chordata; Aves; Anseriformes; Anatidae. The transcript is spliced from 3 exons.
CCAUGCUGCUUAGCUGCGAAUCUGCAAAUACAGGUUAGGUUACAGUCCUGUUCUCUCCCUCUGGUUGGGAUGACUGAAGAAUAUCUGAACAUCUGCAGUAAAGUUGGUUUCCAUGGAUACUUCCACCUCUAAAGCCUCUUCUGUGAACCUGUGUUCCAGCCAGAGCCCCUCUUGGCUGUCAGCAGGGGAGGCCGUACAGUACUCAGCUGAGGAGCACAUACACUGAAUUUCCAGCAACUCCUGAAUUAGUGCACAGCUCCACUAAUAGCUCUUGAAGAUUUAUAUAGUGCAGGCCCAGAAGGAAUGCAGUGGUACUGUCCAGAGAGCUAACAGUCUGAAUAAGCUUCAGAAAAGCAGACUAAAAUUACUGCUUUUGUACCUGCACAGACAGAAGUCAAAACCAAGGGCGCUCCAUGCCAUCGUCCCAAAUGCAACAGCAGCUUACCCCUGAUGCUGUGCGCAUCCUCCUUCCAGCACAAGGCUGCCGGUGCACCCAGCUGUGAUGCCAGCCAGAGCCCCCUCCACACCUCCCCUUCUCAGCCUGCCUCCGCACACGCACAUUGCUGGUCCGGGGCCCUGAGCUGCCCCUGCUCACUAGAGAUGCUGACAGAAGUUGUGAAGAUGGAUUCGUUUGGCAAGAUUUCAAUUCUGUUAUUAUCCUAACUCCUCUUUUUCUGUAACACAAUAUUAUCAAUCUGAUCUCUGCUCUUCAAGCAAUCAGAUCCAAAUGCUCUCUGCUCAUCUGUUUUCUAAUCAGUCUUGGUUCUAAUUUGCUUGAUUAUUCAGAGCCCUUCCACUCUAAAUUCAGCAUGUUCAAAUUCAACCUGGCAUAAAUUGAUUAUUUUUGUAUCACUCUAAAGACAGCUGCCGGCAGCCAAACAGGUAUCAAUUGCUUGUUUAUAAAAUGUCUCCAGAACAGUGAAGAGUGGCUAGAGGGUGCUUCCACAUGACUACAAAUAAGACAGGAUAUUUACCUAGGUACUUACAAUUCAGGG